UUCAUAGCCAACCCAGUUACGGGCAACCCUGUUACGACUUUGAAACAGGGGCUAAUACCGUAUAACAGAGAAAACCGCCUGGUUUUCUUUUAAAAGAUGGCUCUGCUAUCACUUCUGGAUGGACCCGCGGCGCAUUAGCUAGUUGGUGAGGUAACGGCUCACCAAGGCGAUGAUGCGUAGCCGACCUGAGAGGGUAAUCGGCCACAUUGGGACUGAGACACGGCCCAGACUCCUACGGGAGGCAGCAGUAGGGAAUCUUCCACAAUGGACGCAAGUCUGAUGGAGCAACGCCGCGUGAGUGAAGAAGGGUUUCGGCUCGUAAAGCUCUGUUGUUAAAGAAGAACGUGGGUGAGAGUAACUGUUCACCCAGUGACGGUAUUUAACCAGAAAGCCACGGCUAACUACGUGCCAGCAGCCGCGGUAAUACGUAGGUGGCAAGCGUUAUCCGGAUUUAUUGGGCGUAAAGCGAGCGCAGGCGGUCUUUUAAGUCUAAUGUGAAAGGCUUCAGGCUCAACGCGAAGAAGUGCAUUGUAAACGUGUGAGAC
Molecule: ribosomal RNA, 545 nt
Filed under: Pediococcus acidilactici
Lineage: Bacteria; Bacillati; Bacillota; Bacilli; Lactobacillales; Lactobacillaceae
Description: bacterial SSU rRNA
Rfam family: Bacterial small subunit ribosomal RNA
Source: RNAcentral